GCAUUUCGUAUAGGGUGGCGUGAUGGGAACCUGGACAGGGCCGAGAAAAAACGCAUCACCAAGUACCCUAUGACGAGGCAGGACAAGAACCCCAAAAACAAUGUGGCUGCAAGGCACAAUUUCAGGCUUGCAAAGUACUGUAAUGACGACGGUGUUGAGAGCAGAACCUUGACCAAAGCAUUUAGCAUCCAUAACAUCACUGUCUUUGUGAAGAACAUUUGUGUGCAAGUAAAACUCCCAUUAGCCCAGUAGUCAUGGACACAGCCAGUUCUGGUGACCAGCACUUGUUCUGUGGAAAUUCUUGCUUUUCUCAGCCUGCUCAUUGAGGAGAUGAGAUACGGUACCCAGUGAAAUGAGCUCCAACGAUCCUCAAAAGAUCAACACAUCCUGCCUGCCCUGGACCCAGACUUACAGUUAGCAGAGUUAAGAGUGGCAGAAACAACCAGCCACCCAGUGAAGACAUUUCUCUUAAACUUCAUGACCAUAGGAGAAAUCUCAACAGUAAAGAGAGAAGACAUUCGGAAUAAGAAAACCAAGCUUGCAAAAAAGAUUUUAGACAGUAUUUAAGCAAUGGGAGAAUUCUCAAAAAAAUCUGACCACCUAUUGCCCUCAGAUUGAUGGAAAAAAAAUCAUUCAAAUAAACACCACACUACCAAAGUUAAGAAUGUCAAGCAAGAGAUUCUAUUAAGGAAUCACUAUGUUUUGACAUCAUGUUUAUACAUCACUUCAGACCUAUAAGAGGCUUAAGGCGAAAGUGAAAAAACUUUAAAAACUAUAAUACUAAAAGGAAUUUUAUUAUGAACAAGAAAUUUCAACUACAAAGUAUGAAAGAACCACCAUUUUCACAAUUAAACUACAAAUCAGGUGUUUAAAGAGGGAAAGGGGACCUAUACUGUGUAAUUAUCGCCUUUUCUGGAAAAUAUUUCCCCGUCCAAUCCCUCCACGUCCACGUCCUCUUGCAGCCACUGUAAGAGAAGAAAUGCACACAUUACAUGUAUGGGGGCUAAUAUGCCACAAAUCUAAAUUAAUGCAAAGACAACUCCAGGAUGGCAGAACAGCUUAGGGAGGCUUAUUGUCAAAGCAAAACCAAACCGAAUGAGGAGCAGCAGCAAAUGUAAAGAACAUCACCCAAGAAAGAGGCUCCAUAGCUUUGCAUUAAGUAUUCUGCCCUCAUGUGAAUUUUUAAGGAAGACUUUUCCAGACUGGAUGGUUUGGAACUAAAUGAGGUUUUGGAGGAAAGAAACUGACAAAGCACCCAAAAAAUACUGAAGUGUUUUCAAAAGGAGCUGAAUAUUCAUUAAUUAACCACUACACCCCACCCUUUCUGAAGGCUGAUUCAUACUUCAGCGUCACAUCGACCUGUAAAUAGCCGUGAACCUUAUGCUGUAGCCUGACAGGCACGCCCCCAGAAAUGCAACUACAUGUCCUGGAGACACAAAUCGCAAGAACUAUGAUUGGUCCACUUGGUAGCAUUCUUUUCUUCUUAUGGGAGAAAAGAAAGCGUACAUCCCAGGUGUACUUUUAUCGCUGAUUGAACCUGAAGAGCUAUUUAUAUCUAGCAUUAAAUAACCCACCAUAGGCAUCGUAUAAUCAUGUCAACGAAACUCUCGGGAUAACAGCACCAAUUCCACGACCUCCAAAAAGUUUAUUCAUACUUUAAACUACUAAAAAAAAAAGUAAAAAGUAGUAUAGACACUAACUUCAGAUGAGAAAACACAAAAAAGGUGACUUUGUGGCACCUCUACAGUUUUUCCCAGAUUUGUCUGCGGGAAGUUUGGAGCAGCGUAUAUAUAACCAGGACUCAAUAAAUGGGAACUGUUAAAGAAUAUUUUCUCUGUUUCGGUUGCGUGAUGGAAUAAUUGAACGUAUCGCAGGAUGGUAAGGCAGUAAAUCCAACAUCUAAAACUAUGGAUCACCUAGCAUUUGGACAGUGUAAUUGAGCGACACAGACACCAAUACUCGCACAAUGCUUGCAACGGUGUUGGCCACUUGUGUAAGUCACGGCGUAGGCUAAACGCAGAAAUAUAGAUCAGCCUUUAGAAUAACCAGGAGUGCAGGACGUGGAAGCCCCAUUACUGAAUUCUUAAAAUGAUUGAAGAUCGACUGCAUUUUCUUGUCUGUGUACUUGUACAUUGAUCAAUGACAAUAAAGUGGAAUCUAAUCAAUUAAUAGA
This is a non-coding RNA of Paramormyrops kingsleyae, 2173 nucleotides long. The record is from RefSeq and is a predicted model, not a curated record. NCBI's taxonomy places the organism in Eukaryota, Metazoa, Chordata, Actinopteri, Osteoglossiformes, Mormyridae.